GCCCCAGUCCUCUGAACGGCAGAGAAGGAAAUGCUGGGUGGAGGGUUCCCACUCACGCAUGCCCUUCCGCGCCUCUCGCCCACUGGGGCUGGGCUUGGAUUUUGCAACCAUUUCCAUCACCGCUGCUGUACUUGGCGCAGCCCUGCUGGAAACCGGCAGGGAGCCCGCGGAAGAAAACCGCAACGCCAACCAGGCCUUCACGUCGAAGCGCCGCAGCAAAUGGCCUCACCUGGUUUGGCUGCGUCUUGCCGAGGAACAAGGAGGAGGUGGAAGGCCCUCUUUCUUUCAUCGACUGACCUGGGCGCACACUCUGGAAACCAAAGGGUCCCAAGGACAAUUACUGUCAGACAUUCCCCCACUCAAAUCCAGGAAACUUAGUUUACACUACUUCAGGAGAAAUGCCUGUAUCAUCUACAAAGGAUGUGUUGUCUUUCCAUGCGCAUAACAAACCAGUUGAAGCAAAACAAAGGAUCUCAAACUUACGUAUCUUCAGUCUUGAAAGGUCCCUCUGUGUUAAUGGAUGUAAUUAAAGGCCUUCUAGGUUUGCUGAUAGAUACUAGAACCGAUCAUCUCACAUGUCCGCCAUCGGAGAGUCCCAAGCUCCAGUCUCCACGUGAAUUUCCGGACUCUUCCAUAGCCCUUCCGGUAGAAUCCAGGUGGCCCCAUAGUUCUGCCUUUAGCAGGAGAGCUAUUUCCUAGGAGUAACUGGGUGGGCUGCAAUCCGCCUGCCUCUUCACGUUGAGAAACGCUUCUCUUGUGGGAACGUCUGUUUCUAUUCAUCCGAUUUUCUAAUGUCUUUGAUCAGCCUAAAUAUUUUCUUGGCAAACGGAAAUUGACCAUGCCAUGAAUAUGAUAACAACCUGCUUGGAAAGAAGCUAUUUUGUUUCGAAGCAGCAAGGGGGAGUGGGGGGCCGGGAAGCCAGGGAAGGGAGUAGGGGUCGGGUAACUAGCUGGCUGGUAAGAAUGCCUGAAAUAGAUUCCUGAACAUACAUCUUUUUGCAGUCUCUGAAGCAGCUUUUUGAAAGAUAGUCAGAUAAACACACACCUGGGCUCCUAAAAGUCUUUGAUACACUUUAUAUUUAAAAAAACAGAACUUCAAUGGACGCCUCUGGAGAAUUUCCCUUUAAAACAUAGAUGAAAGGCAAGGUUAAUACAAUGUUCUCUUAAUCCCUUUGGCUUGUGAGUCAAAAUAAAUAUUUUCUUCUGCAUGUUAUUGUACAUCCUGCCAUUUGGCUGUGGCUAUAAGCAAAUCGACCGGUAAUAAAAGUGUUUUGAGGCUGUGUAUUAAAUGCAGUUCUCUUGAAAUCAAGGGUUGGGGGGAGGGAGGGGCCUUACUUCACAGGCAAGAGUUGGUGGGUUUCUGAAAAAGCUGCAAGAAAAAGACCUUUCACCUCUCAUUAGUGAUGCCAUCAGUGCUCAGGCAGAGUGGAGCUGAGGUCAUGUUACAUAUGGCACACAGUCUGCUCAGCACUUGAAACGUCAGCUUUGAAAUUUUAGAGAGGGGAAAGGUCAUCUUUAAUAAGCUAAAGUCUGGGGCUCCCAUUGCCCUCUUUGCAAACUGGGUGGGUGUCCAUAUGCUUCAAACCUUCUGCACAAGUUUUCUUUUUUUUAAUUUGCAGUUUUAAGCUGAUUUUUUGUUUCACAUCUUCAUUUAAGCUGUAAUGUUUUCAGCUGUUAAUACACCAAAAGGCCUUUCAUUUUUAUAGCAACUCUGUCAUCUUUCCUUUUCUUCUUAUGCAAUCAUAAAACUGUCUGUUCUGAGUGAUAGCUUUUUAGAACUCAGCUUCCCAGAAGAAAUGAAGUGUAUCUGUCCAUCUGCAUACAUGGAUCCAGACAUGUGGGCUAUAGGGUUACCCUUCUGAGUGGGUAAUUUAGACUUCACUUUUGUACACUACAUAAUUUACUGAACCUUCAAAACAUUAAAACUUCCAUAUUGUGUAAAAGCUCUAGUUUCUGAAAACUUCCUGGUACUACUAAAAUUUUUCAUGCCAUUUACUGAAAUUUCACAUUUUAUUUUUACCAUGUGGGGGAAACUCUCAAAUCAGAAGAUAUUGAUUCUUCUGUAAGGUUUAAAGUUAAGGUUGACAGAAGCUACAGUGGUAGAUAU
Molecule: long non-coding RNA, 2107 nt
Organism: Bos taurus (domestic cattle)
Lineage: Eukaryota; Metazoa; Chordata; Mammalia; Artiodactyla; Bovidae
Source: Ensembl